GGGGAUUUAGCUCAGUGGGAUAAGCGCCUGCCUGGCAAGCACGAGGUUGUGUGUUCAAUCCCCG
Molecule: transfer RNA, 64 nt
Filed under: Cavia porcellus (domestic guinea pig)
Lineage: Eukaryota; Metazoa; Chordata; Mammalia; Rodentia; Caviidae
Rfam family: tRNA
About the family: Transfer RNA (tRNA) molecules are approximately 80 nucleotides in length. Their secondary structure includes four short double-helical elements and three loops (D, anti-codon, and T loops). Further hydrogen bonds mediate the characteristic L-shaped molecular structure. tRNAs have two regions of fundamental functional importance: the anti-codon, which is responsible for specific mRNA codon recognition, and the 3' end, to which the tRNAs corresponding amino acid is attached (by aminoacyl-tRNA synthetases). tRNAs cope with the degeneracy of the genetic code in two manners: having more than one tRNA (with a specific anti-codon) for a particular amino acid; and 'wobble' base-pairing, i.e. permitting non-standard base-pairing at the 3rd anti-codon position.
Source: Rfam by way of RNAcentral